RNAcentral lists this ribosomal RNA (1468 nucleotides) under uncultured prokaryote. Its description in RNAcentral is "partial 16S ribosomal RNA". It matches the Rfam family "Archaeal small subunit ribosomal RNA". The record is from RNAcentral.
UUCCGGUUGAUCCCGCCGGACCUUACUGCUAUCGGGAUGAGAUUAAGCCAUGCAAGUCGUGCGUUCUUAAGCUAUGUUGAGAGCGCGGCGAACUGCUCCGUAACACGUAGUUAACCUACCCUCGGGAUGGGGAUAACCCCGGGAAACUGGGAUUAAUACCCAAUAGAUGAUUAUACCUGGAAUGGCUUAUCAUCGAAAGAGUCUGGAAACAUGCUUCCAGCGUCGCCCAAGGAUGGGACUGCGUCCGAUCAGGUUGUUGGUGGGGUAACGGCUCACCAAGCCUAUAACCGGUACGGGCCCUGAGAGGGGGAGCCCGGAGAUGGAAACUGAGAAAAUGUUCCAGGCCCUACGGGGUGCAGCAGGCGCGAAACCUCCACAAUGCGCGAAAGCGUGAUGGGGUUAUCCCGAGUGCCGUCCGAUGAGGAUGGCUUUUCAUCGGUGUAAGGAUCCGAUGGAAUAAAGGGGGGGCAAGACUGGUGUCAGCCGUCGCGGUAAUACCAGCCCCCUGAGUGGUAGGGACGAUUAUUUGGCCUAAAGCGUUCGUAGCCGGCUUAGCAAGUCUUUUGUUAAAUCCAACGAUUCAAUCGUUGGGCCGCAAAAGAUACUGUUAUGCUAGAGGACGGGAGAGGUCGACGGUAGUCCAGGGGUAGGGGUGAAAUCCUAUAAUCCUUGGAGGACCACCAGUGGCGAAGGCGGUCGACUAGAACGUGCCUGACGGUGAGGGACGAAAGCUGGGGGAGCGAACCGGAUUAGAUACCCGGGUAGUCCCAGCUGUAAACGAUGCGGGCUAGGUGUUGGGGCAGCCACGAGCUGCUCCAGUGCCGCAGAGAAGUUGUUAAGCCCGCCGCCUGGGGAGUACGGCCGCAAGGCUGAAACUUAAAGGAAUUGGCGGGGGAGCACCACAAGGGGUGAAGGCUGCGGUUUAAUUGGAGUCAACGCCGGGAACCUUACCGGGGCUGACAGCAGAGUGAAGGCCAGACUGAAGAUCUUGCCAGACAAGCUGAGAGGAGGUGCAUGGCCGUCGCCAGUUCGUGCCGUGAGGUGUCCUGUUAAGUCAGGCAACGAACGAGACCCCCGCUUUUAGUUGCCAUCGGAUUCCAACGGAAUGCCGGGCACACUAACGGGACUGCCAUCGAUAAGAUGGAGGAAGGGGGGGGCAACGGCAGGUCAGUAUGCCCCGAAUGCCUCGGGCCACACGCGGCCUGCAAUGGUAGGUACAGAGGGAUCCGACCUUGAAAAAGGAAGGCAAUCCCUAAACCCUAUCUCAGUCGGGAUUGAGGGCUGAAACUCGCCCUCAUGAACAUGGAAUCCCUAGUAACCGCGUGUCAUCAUCGCGCGGUGAAUACGUCCCCGCUCCUUGCACACACCGCCCGUCGCUCCAUCCAAGUCGGGUCUAGAUGAGGCUUUGUCUAAUUGGCAAGGUCGAAUCUGGGUUCGGUAAGGGGGGAGAAGUCGUAACAAGGUAGCC